This 72-nucleotide transfer RNA is filed under the name Phrynosoma platyrhinos (Desert horned lizard). RNAcentral's name for it is "tRNA-OTHER". The record is from RNAcentral. Lineage: Eukaryota; Metazoa; Chordata; Lepidosauria; Squamata; Phrynosomatidae.
GCCAGUGUGGUGUAUUGGCUUGAGUGUUGGACUAGGACUCUGGAGACCAGGGUUCAACUCCCAGCUCAGCCA